Molecule: RNA transcript, 1545 nt
Organism: Lolium perenne
Lineage: Eukaryota; Viridiplantae; Streptophyta; Magnoliopsida; Poales; Poaceae
Source: RefSeq, a predicted model, not a curated record
CAUGCCUAUACAGUUAGACGCUGCGGAUAGCUUCGUCGAAAUUUACGCUAUAUCACAAAAGCAGUCUACCGAGUGCUUUUCUCAAAUCCGGGACAUUAGUAUUGUCGCGCGCGCCCGUCUAGAUCGAUCAUGGAGGCGGUGAGCACGAUCAUCAAGUUGGCGCAGCAGAUCGCUAAAGCGGCUGAGACCGCCCGCCGGAACAGGGACAUGUGCCGGCACCUCGCCGGCCGCGCGCUUACCAUCGGCAACAACCUCCGCGACUUCAAAGACGCAGCGGCCAGCGGCGACACGGCGUCCAGGCGGAGCGCGCUGGGCAGGCUCAAGACUGCCCUCGACGACGCGCUCAAGCUCGUCGAGUCCAGCCGCCGGCAGAGCCGCUGGCUUGCCUGGCUCUCCAGCGGCAGGACUGCCGCCAGGUUCCAGGACGUCGAUGGGAGAAUCACCGCCUGCGUCGUUGACCUCGGCCUCGUGGAGCUGCUCCACGCCGGCGCUCAAGGUCGUCCUCCCGCCAACACAAAAGCCGGCCAGUCGAAGAAGAAGGAGACGGACCGCAGCGGGAAGAAGAAGAAGAAAGACGGUCCCAAGAAUGGCGGCGCCGGCAAAAACAGCAACAAAGGCAAGAAGAAAGAGAUCGGUGCCAAAAAUGGCAACAAGAGUGGCGGCGCCGCAGCUAGCAACCAGAAGCAGAAGAAGAACGGCGGUGAGCAGCAAGGCUGGAACGGUAGCAGGCAGGUGAAAGGGAAGCCCGCGGCCGCACCGGCACCCCGGCGCUGCGCCGCGCACUCCAUGGAGGACGACCCCGGGUCUUGCUCCGUGAUGUGAUGUCAGUACUCAGUUCGUGCGUGAUCAAUCCAUAGCGCUCGGCGGGUGGCGCGCGGCGACAUGAGAUGCUGAAUCGUCCUGGCCGAUGGGCAUGGACCCGAGCCAUGGUUGGUCAAGCCCGUAAAGGAUUGCAGUACAAGACUGCUGCAGCUGGUGUCAACUGUCAAAUAGUAGUAGUGGUGUAGUACUCAAAUUGGAGGCUUCUGAUUUUUCCUGCUCUACCGGAGGAGAGCGGUGGAGCUCGGCACCGAGAUCGAGGCACGUGACAGAGCUUCUAGGAGACGGUUGCUACUUGCUGGAAUCGGGCAGCACAUGGCGGCUACACAGGCGGCCGGGAGAGUAUCAAGCUGCUAGGGCCUGCUGCCACUGGUUAGCUCUGUCGACGGGAGGCUGCAACACUUAAGCGGCCAUCAAGUUCCGAGGUACCUUGAGAUGGGUUGAAUUCAUCCAGGUUCAUUGAGAUGGGUUGAAUUCGAUUUUUUCCUACCGUACAUGCAUCUUGGUUUGAAACGAAGUGGAUUCUUUGUUUGUCAUACAAUUUUCCCGAACAGAUUCACGACAAGUAAAUACCACUGUAGAUGCCAAUCUGGAGGACGAUGCUCUGUUUUUGGGUCUGUACUUAGUGCCCUUUCAGAUUAGCACGAAAGCCAUGCGUGAAUCACUGCUGCAAUUUUUUUAACAUGUUUCAGUGACCUAAUGAUCAAUACAAAUUCAAUGCCAAUA